CAGUCGCCGCGGUAAUACGAAGGGGGCUAGCGUUGCUCGGAAUCACUGGGCGUAAAGGGUGCGUAGGCGGGUCUUUAAGUCAGGGGUGAAAUCCUGGAGCUCAACUCCAGAACUGCCUUUGAUACUGAAGAUCUUGAGUUCGGGAGAGGUGAGUGGAACUGCGAGUGUAGAGGUGAAAUUCGUAGAUAUUCGCAAGAACACCAGUGGCGAAGGCGGCUCACUGGCCCGAUACUGACGCUGAGGCACGGAAGCGUGGGGAGCAAACAGGAUUAGAGACCCCCGUAGUCCCUGUCUCUUAUAC
RNAcentral lists this ribosomal RNA (301 nucleotides) under uncultured bacterium. Its description in RNAcentral is "partial 16S ribosomal RNA". It matches the Rfam family "Bacterial small subunit ribosomal RNA", at positions 509 to 807 of the family's 1533-position model. The record is from RNAcentral.